AGUGAACGCUGGCGGUAGGCCUAACACAUGCAAGUCGAACGGCAGCACAGUAAGAGCUUGUUCUUACGGGUGGCGAGUGGCGGAUGGGUGAGGAAUACAUCGGAAUCUACUUUUUCGUGGGGGAUAACGUAGGGAAACUUACGCUAAUACCGCAUACGACCUACGGGUGAAAGCAGGGGAUCUUCGGACCUUGCGCGAUUCAAUGAGCCGAUGUCGGAUUAGCUAGUUGGCGGGGUAAAGGCCCACCAAGGCGACGAUCCGUAGCUGGUCUGAGAGGAUGAUCAGCCACACUGGAACUGAGACACGGUCCAGACUCCUACGGGAGGCAGCAGUGGGGAAUAUUGGACAAUGGGCGCAAGCCUGAUCCAGCCAUGCCGCGUGGGUGAAGAAGGCCUUCGGGUUGUAAAGCCCUUUUGUUGGGAAAGAAAAGCAGCAGGUUAAUACCCCGCUGUUCUGACGGUACCCAAAGAAUAAGCACCGGCUAACUUCGUG
RNAcentral lists this ribosomal RNA (492 nucleotides) under uncultured bacterium. Its description in RNAcentral is "partial 16S ribosomal RNA". It matches the Rfam family "Bacterial small subunit ribosomal RNA", at positions 29 to 507 of the family's 1533-position model. The record is from RNAcentral.